AGCAUCGGCUGGGAAUCGAACCCGGGCCGCCCGCGUGGCAGGCGAGAAUUCUACCACUGAACCACCGAUGU
RNAcentral lists this transfer RNA (71 nucleotides) under Cordylochernes scorpioides. RNAcentral's name for it is "tRNA-Gly". Lineage: Eukaryota; Metazoa; Arthropoda; Arachnida; Pseudoscorpiones; Chernetidae. The record is from RNAcentral.